GAGCUGUGAUGAUAUUUGGCCUUAGCAUUGGUUGGGUCCAUCGCAAUUCUCUGAUUAAUCGGAUGUGAUUGCCUCUCUGAGCUC
This is a non-coding RNA of Brassica napus (rape), 84 nucleotides long. The record is from Rfam. Lineage: Eukaryota; Viridiplantae; Streptophyta; Magnoliopsida; Brassicales; Brassicaceae.